RNAcentral lists this transfer RNA (68 nucleotides) under Phycisphaerales bacterium. RNAcentral's name for it is "tRNA-Thr". The stretch from base 4 to 63 matches the Rfam family "tRNA", at positions 9 to 63 of the family's 71-position model. From Rfam's summary of the family: Transfer RNA (tRNA) molecules are approximately 80 nucleotides in length. The record is from RNAcentral. Lineage: Bacteria; Pseudomonadati; Planctomycetota; Phycisphaerae; Phycisphaerales.
GCCAGCGUUAAGCUCAUCUGCGCAGCGGUUUUGUAAACCGCAGGUUGCGGGUUCGAGUCCCGCCGGUG